GACGAACGCUGGCGGCGUGCUUAACACAUGCAAGUCGAACGCUGAACCCGCUUCGGUGGGGGAUGAGUGGCGAACGGGUGAGUAACACGUGGGCAACCUGCCCCCGGCUCUGGGAUAACUCCAAGAAAUUGGGGCUAAUACCGGAUGUGACCGCUGGCCGCAUGGUCUGGUGGUGGAAAGGGUUUCCGGCUGGGGAUGGGCCGCGGCCUAUCAGCUUGUUGGUGGGGUAGUGGCCUACCAAGGCGACGACGGGUAGCCGGCCUGAGAGGGUGACCGGCCACACUGGGACUGAGACACGGCCCAGACUCCUACGGGAGGCAGCAGUGGGGAAUAUUGCGCAAUGGGCGGAAGCCUGACGCAGCGACGCCGCGUGGGGGAUGACGGCCUUCGGGUUGUAAACCUCUUUCAGCAGGGACGAAGCGCAAGUGACGGUACCUGCAGAAGAAGCACCGGCCAACUACGUG
This 464-nucleotide ribosomal RNA is filed under the name uncultured bacterium. RNAcentral's name for it is "partial 16S ribosomal RNA". It matches the Rfam family "Bacterial small subunit ribosomal RNA", at positions 28 to 507 of the family's 1533-position model. The record is from RNAcentral.